This 641-nucleotide ribosomal RNA is filed under the name Pseudomonas sp. I15B-00827. RNAcentral describes it as "bacterial SSU rRNA". It matches the Rfam family "Bacterial small subunit ribosomal RNA", at positions 90 to 727 of the family's 1533-position model. Lineage: Bacteria; Pseudomonadati; Pseudomonadota; Gammaproteobacteria; Pseudomonadales; Pseudomonadaceae. The record is from RNAcentral.
GGCGAGUGGCGGACGGGUGAGGAAUACAUCGGAAUCUACUUUUUCGUGGGGGAUAACGUAGGGAAACUUACGCUAAUACCGCAUACGACCUACGGGUGAAAGCAGGGGAUCUUCGGACCUUGCGCGAUUGAAUGAGCCGAUGUCGGAUUAGCUAGUUGGCGGGGUAAAGGCCCACCAAGGCGACGAUCCGUAGCUGGUCUGAGAGGAUGAUCAGCCACACUGGAACUGAGACACGGUCCAGACUCCUACGGGAGGCAGCAGUGGGGAAUAUUGGACAAUGGGCGCAAGCCUGAUCCAGCCAUACCGCGUGGGUGAAGAAGGCCUUCGGGUUGUAAAGCCCUUUUGUUGGGAAAGAAAUCCAGCUGGCUAAUACCCGGUUGGGAUGACGGUACCCAAAGAAUAAGCACCGGCUAACUUCGUGCCAGCAGCCGCGGUAAUACGAAGGGUGCAAGCGUUACUCGGAAUUACUGGGCGUAAAGCGUGCGUAGGUGGUCGUUUAAGUCCGUUGUGAAAGCCCUGGGCUCAACCUGGGAACUGCAGUGGAUACUGGGCGACUAGAAUGUGGUAGAGGGUAGCGGAAUUCCUGGUGUAGCAGUGAAAUGCGUAGAGAUCAGGAGGAACAUCCAUGGCGAAGGCAGCUA